Oryctolagus cuniculus (rabbit) is the source of this 1756-nucleotide long non-coding RNA. NCBI's taxonomy places the organism in Eukaryota, Metazoa, Chordata, Mammalia, Lagomorpha, Leporidae. The record is from Ensembl.
AUGUCCUCACUCCCAGCCUCCCUACACAUUGUGUGUCCCAGCUGGGAUAGUAAAGCAUGCAGUCACCUCCCUCCUGGGCACCUACCACUGCCAGGCCCCAUUGCAAGACAGAUGUCACCCAGCCCUCCCCUCCAGCUCCCACCGUCCAGGGAGGGGAUGGCUGACAUGCGGUGGGAGGAGGUGGGCUGGACACAUCUCUGCGUGGCCCUCGAGGGCCACGCACAUCUGACGGGGAGAAAGGUGAGACUACAAGGGGCACUGCAGGCCAUCAGGGGGACAGAAGAGUCUCAGCGUUCGGGACAGUCAACCGCCUCGCCCUUCCCGACCCCGGGAGUGCAGUGGGAGCUGAGACUCCUCCCUGCAAAGCCUGAGAAAGCAGCAGCCGCCCCACGGCCCUUGGCUUUGGGAUGCUCGGGACUGGUCCUAGUAGACACACCUGGCCUCCCGCCCGCCCCGCUCCGCACUUGGAGUUGGCUCAGGCCAUUUCCUAAGCUUCACCUGGAAUCACCUGCCUCUCCUGCGCCAGAACUUGUCCGUCUGCCGAGCCAGAGGUUCCAGGUGGCCCAGAGCACUGUGCCAUUCACACCAGCCGGUCAAGGAGCCCUGCCCUCUGUCGUCCCAGAGCUGCCCGCAGCCCAUCGGGAGUCUGCACCAGCUGCCGCGGGGCUGGGGACCCGGGGAAGCAGAGCAGUCCCUCGGCCCAGCACCCCAGAGCGGCAGCCCUGGAGGAGGGAGCGGCAGGCUGGGGCCUGGUGACUCUGGAGCGAGUGGCUGCGGGAGGGAGAACUCGGGGAGCAAGCCAGGAAGAAGGAAACUGAGGCGCUCUCUCUGAAUAUUCAGCCUUCCCCACAUAACCUCUUGCUUCGGGAAAGCCAAACAGCUUCCAGAGACAAAGCCGGGGGUAUUGAAAGGGAGCGCAGCUGGGAAGCCGCGUGGAUUGGCCGGGUUUGGCCUCCUGCUGGUCCCAGGGCUAACACAGCCUGAGAUCUGAACUCUCAGGAAUGUCCCGCCUGACCCCGAGUCACAGACCAUAGCCCACACUGGGAUCCGGGCGGCACCAAACGGGACAUAAAGGGGCUUUUGGAAAUGACAGACUAGGAAGCAGCUUCAUUUAAGAAAUAUCUACAUGCGCAAGAAAGCGAAGAGCUCGCACUUGGCUACAAGCAGCCCCGGAGAGGGGUAAACCUCUCAGAGCCGAGUGCACCCCGUUUUCUUUGCCUGCCUGUCUCCUGCUACUCCUGGCUGCCUUGUGCUUCUUCGAUUCAUCUGAAGCCAGAAACCCAAUGGCCCAGUCCUUUUAGGAGCACCCCUUUGCAGAGCGGCUGGGAGACCCCGAGGGUGGUACCACCACCAAGGAAUGUCACGCAGCACAUUUUUAAGUAUUCUGAACAAACCCCCUCAUCAUCUCUCCUCUCUGCAUGGCUGAUCCUUGCAGACCUACCGGGCUGUGGGGCAGGGGUUUGAUUGUCCAUGCUGUGUGUCUGGGGCAUGGAAGCAGGCAAUGGAAUUAAACAGUGAAUAGCACACGUGGCCUCAGUGUGCAAAAAAGGGAACAAGUGUGUGAAGGUGUCCCUGCUUUGCUCCAGAAAACUGGGGGAUUCUACCCUGACUGGGUUUGGUUUCCAUGACAUGGAUGUCUCAUUUUAGAUGGCAGACACAGUCACCACGGGCAGAGUGCCCCCUCAUAGUGUGGCCCUGCAGAGGCCACAGCUAACCAGAGCCACAGCCCAGGCCAUGUGUCACUGCCCUGACAGGA